UGGGGAAUAUUGCACAAUGGGGGAAACCCUGAUGCAGCGACGCCGCGUGGGUUAAGAAGUACUUCGGUACGUAAAGCCCUAUCAGCAGGGAAGAAAAUGACGGUACCUGAUUAAGAAGCCCCGGCUAACUACGUGCC
RNAcentral lists this ribosomal RNA (137 nucleotides) under uncultured bacterium. RNAcentral's name for it is "partial 16S ribosomal RNA". It matches the Rfam family "Bacterial small subunit ribosomal RNA", at positions 355 to 509 of the family's 1533-position model. The record is from RNAcentral.